ACUUUGCUGAGUUUACUGGGUCUCCCCAAGAGCCACUCACCCCUCAGUAGUCGUUGCUCUUGCAAUAAGGCUCACUGUGUACACUGAUCGGCCCACACCUUCCCCCACCAACAGGAAUAUCCUGGAACACUACCCUCACCGCUCCCACACCCAGCAGUGUCCUGAAUGCUUGCUUAGCACCAUCCCAGAUGUCAAGGUUCUAGGGCAAACGUCACGAGUGGGUUUGGAAAUCCGAGGAAGCCAGGGCUCGUAAAUUGAUGGGGAAAUGGGGCCUGGGCUCGCGUGAAGGCAGUGUCAUCCCCAAGCGCCAUCAAACCGAGAAGGAGUUUACCAGCCCAGCAGAUGAGUAAAACCUGAAGUUUGAGGAAGGGCAGAUGCUUCCUAUUGUGACUAGGGCCGAGCACGCCCCAAUCGUAGGCCACCUCAUGGUUUCCAAGAGGGAUUGGAGACGUAUAAAAGGUUUGCAGUCUCAGAGCAUCCCCAAAGCCUCAGCAUCUCCACGUUCCAGCCACUGGUGAACUCGGUGCACAUCCAGACCAGAAUGUAUCAUCAACAGCAGAAGCUGUGCUGCCCCCUACCAAAGUAUUGCUGCCCACCAUCCCAGCAAUUCUGCCCCCCACCAAAGUAUUGCUGCCCCGCACCCCAGCAGUGCUGCCCACUACCAAAGUAUUGCUGUCCCGCACCCCAGCAGUACUGUCCCCCUCUCCAGUACUACUGCCCCCCACCAAAGCGGUGCUAGACCCCCCUCAGAACGCCAAGCAGCCUUGCCAGCCUCCACCUACGUGCAAGGUGCCCUGUGUCCCGAAGUGCCAGCACAAGUGCCCACGCCCUCCGCAAUGCCUGGUGUCCAAGCAGAAGUCCUCCCUGGCCAUGAGAUCUGAGGCCAAGCUCCCUGGAGAACAGAGACCAUGAAGCCCAUUGUCCUCUCUCAGCCAGCCAGCUGUCAGCGCCAGUCUCGCCCGGCUUCUGGAGGCAGCCACACUUCGGGAAAGCAGCACCAGGUUGGCGGCUUUCUGGAUCAAGAUUUCGUAUUAAUUAGCAGCUGCAAGUUCCAUCUCAGAAAAGGAUCUCUUUCUAAACCAUCUAAUCUUCUCUGCUGCCUUGUAUCGACUUUGCCCUGUCGGCUUCUUGGAAACUUAAGCAGCGUGGCGGGACAUGCGUUCCUAGCACCCUUCGUUUCUACUCUAGUUUUCCCAACUAUUACACACAAUUCCUUUGGCA
Physeter macrocephalus (sperm whale) is the source of this 1221-nucleotide long non-coding RNA. RefSeq lists it as uncharacterized. Lineage: Eukaryota; Metazoa; Chordata; Mammalia; Artiodactyla; Physeteridae. The record is from RefSeq and is a predicted model, not a curated record. The transcript has 2 exons.